AACAGGAUUAGAUACCCUGGUAGUCCACGCCCUAAACGAUGCAUAUUUGGUGUGGGUCAUUCAGUUGAUCCGUGCCGGAGCUAACGCGUUAAAUAUGCCGCCUGGGGAGUACAGUCGCAAGGCCGAAACUCAAAGGAAUUGACGGGGGCCCGCACAAGCGGUGGAGCAUGUGGUUUAAUUCGACGCAACGCGAAGAACCUUACCUGGGCUCGAAAUGGUAGUGACCAGCUUAUGAAAGUAGGCCUUCCCGCAAGGGACACUAUUAUAGGUGCUGCAUGGCUGUCGUCAGCUCGUGUCGUGAGAUGUUGGGUUAAGUCCCGCAACGAGCGCAACCCUUGUCCUGUGUUGCCAUACCGAAAGGUGGAACUCGCAGGAGACCGCCAGGGGUAACCUGGAGGAAGGUGGGGAUGACGUCAAGUCCUCAUGGCCUUUAUGUCCAGGGCUACACACGUGCUACAAUGGACGGUACAAAGGGCUGCCAACCCGCGAGGGGGAGCCAAUCCCAAAAAACCGUUCUCAGUUCGGAUUGCAGGCUGCAACUCGCCUGCAUGAAGCUGGAAUCGCUAGUAAUGGUGGAUCAGAACGCCACCGUGAAUACGUUCCCGGGCCUUGUACACACCGCCCGUCACAUCACGAAAGUGGGUUGUACUAGAAGUUCGCGCGCUAACCCGCAAGGGAGGCAGCGGCCCAAGGUAUGACUCAUGAUUGGGGUGAAGUCGUAACAAGGUAACC
This 732-nucleotide ribosomal RNA is filed under the name uncultured bacterium. RNAcentral's name for it is "bacterial SSU rRNA". It matches the Rfam family "Bacterial small subunit ribosomal RNA", at positions 771 to 1501 of the family's 1533-position model. The record is from RNAcentral.